Long non-coding RNA from Corvus hawaiiensis (hawaiian crow), 934 nucleotides. RefSeq lists it as uncharacterized. NCBI's taxonomy places the organism in Eukaryota, Metazoa, Chordata, Aves, Passeriformes, Corvidae. The record is from RefSeq and is a predicted model, not a curated record. The transcript has 3 exons.
CUUCUUAAAUCCAGGCUGCUUUUCUCUAUUUCCAGCAGGAUUUUCCUCAUCUUUUGAUGCAACAUGUGAUCCAGUGUCUUCUGCUGCUGGUGUCGUUUGCAUCCUCUCCCUUGAAGAGCUUCUGUCUUGACAAUUUGGCACUUUGUUUGAAGAAGACGACUGGAACUUCUCAGAGGAAGAAGAAAAGCCAAAGUACUAGAGAAAGUCCUACCUUAUGCAGAAUAUGUUCUUCUCUCUUCUCUACUGCUGAAUUUAUUACAGGAGUGCUAGAGGCAUCCUAAACUAGAAGCAAUGUUUUCAGAAAGUCUUGGUAUUCUCUGGCACCAAAAGCUACUGACACAACUGCUGCCUUUGGUUUAACACAUCUCCAAAGCAAACAAGAAAGCACCUUGCGAAGCUGCCAAGAGAAAACAUGCAAAAACAACAGUGCGAGAAGUAACGCAUCGUAGGGAAAACCUUUUCAUAUGGACAUUGUCAUGCAGGCUGCUAUUCCUACUGACAGGCAUCACCUGCUCCUGUGUCUGCCUCAUAACAUCCCAGUGAUGAGUCCAGCAAUGGCUUACAUGGAAAAAGGCGUAGGAAAGUACUCAUGUAUUUUUAGCUAUCUUUUUAAAACACAGUUCAGCAGCUGGAGAAAGACAGGAGAAACCAACACCACGUAGGCAAUCACACACGGUGGAAAUUAGAAAGCAUUACGCAGACCUCAGUUUCUGAACUUCUAAGGUAAAACAUGAGGUUAAACACAGGAACAAAUUCUGAGCUUGCUUCUGCAUUAUUUCAUAGAGGAUUCCAGAUUUGUGCCUGUGCUGCUCUUGGGGGCAUUAGGAUCUCCGUCGUCAAGGUCUACUGUUUGCUUUGUUUGUGGUAUGCAACUUUUAACCCAAUCAUGGUUUGUUGGUUUUCUUGAAAAAUGAGGAAAUAAAAGAAAAAGGGA